Ooceraea biroi (clonal raider ant) is the source of this 3801-nucleotide long non-coding RNA. RefSeq lists it as uncharacterized. NCBI's taxonomy places the organism in Eukaryota, Metazoa, Arthropoda, Insecta, Hymenoptera, Formicidae. The record is from RefSeq and is a predicted model, not a curated record.
CUCAAGAAAGUUCAUCUCUUCUCCAUGUAUCUUGUGUAAUUUACUGUGUGCGUAUCUGUUCUAAAUUUCGUUGCUUGAUGAUUAUAUUUUGCUAUUUGUCAUUAUAAAUCAAUGGUUCGUUAUUUAAAUGACUCAAUUUAUCUCAGUAAGCUCAAAUCGGUGAGCGAUAAAUAAAAAUAAAUUUUUGUCAUGCAUAUUGCACAGGCAAUAUAACAUUGCAAAUAAAAAUGAUGGCAAAUAAAAAUAUCCGAUUUACACAAUUUAAAAAGAUCAGACGGAACAUUUCAUUCUUUCAAAUAAACGGGUUGUUUUGCCUUCUGUAAUAAAAUUUCAUCGAAUCAGAUACAUUGUUUGUCCUGAUUAGUGCCGGAAGAGAUUGCAUUUGGAUCAAACGCUACACGUAAUCGUUUUAAUCGCGAGAUGAAUGGAAAUUGAAAUUUGCGAGGGGGUUCAUUUUCGGGAAUAUAUGAUUCGUGUACGGGCAGCCUUUAUAUGAAUGUUGUCAAGAGAGAUCGAAAUUUGUGUGACUCGCGAUUAUCCAUCGCUAAUUUUAGGCUGGCGCACGCACACAGAUGCGAUGUAUAACGGUAAUCGCACAAAUUCUCAUUCUCGCCGGCCGCGAAAUCUCGUAUAUUGGCCCCGACCAUUUACAGAUGCAAAUUCUAUUAUGUCCGCUUAUCACGUUGCGGUCUAGAUUGCGUCCACGCGGACGCUGCGCAUGCUAGUAACAUCUGCAAAAUUAGAACGACGUGGCGCGUGGUCGUCGGCGAUACGGUAAAUUUCACUUACCGACUCUCCGGGGUAUCGUCGAAAAUCGAUUUUACGAAAUGGCCAACAGUCCGCGUAACAUAAUAUCUGAGAAAAGUCUCCAUCAGACUCAUAAAUAUGUUACUUGCCACCAAAAUAUGUUACCAAAAUAAUUUCUAGCAAAAUGAAUUGUGAGUAUGCAAGUUCCACUUUGCAAACAAUCUUGCGCGCUUGUAAUUCUUUUUCCGCAUGUACAUGAAGGUUGCCGUAAUUUUCAGCAAACGACUCGAGGACUCUUGAUAUUCCGACCUUGAAAUGAACGCUCUUCUAGCUUGUAAGGUCUCGUUGCGCACUCCAUAGGCUUUCGGGAAAGUUUACCAAAUUUUCGAGGAUCGUUACGACCUGUUUGUCCAGCAAACAAACUUCGAAAUUACUGUUUCCUCCAUGACGACGGCGGUUUCGAUCGAGGAUCGAUGAUGCCUCCCUACCUACGGACGUCGCUUCUACGUCCCUACCGUUCGACAAGUCCCCGUCGAUUAAACGAUGGCACGCAUCGAGCAGUACAACUCCACUUGUCGUUGCAAUCGCCGCACUCUCGACGCGGUACGAGAGAACGGAGAGUGCCGUCUGGUUUUUAUCGGUGCCACGUGCGUGACACGAUAACGUGCGAUCCGUUCACCGUUAUCAAAAUGCGCCGAAAGUUCGGGGCACGUGCUAGGACAACGCGUACCUCUGUCAAAGGAUCCCGAUUUGAUUGACUGUGUAACUGAGAGUGUGCGAGACCCGAAACGUGUCGAACGUUUUUAUCGAGACGGCCGUGGCGCGUGAAAUAUCGUUUAUUUCUUCGAUUUAUUUUCACGGGGAAUUUUCGGUUGAUCGUAUCGAGGUUCCGUGUAUAAUUUAGUAGCGCGAUCCGCGUUAUUUCUGGGUACUAUCAGUUAUAGUUUUUGGUACGACGAUCAAUAGUGCGAGUACUUUUCUAGGAGGACUUUACAUAAGCGCGAAUAUACUGCCUUCCUCAAAUAUUUAUUCGGAUCGUUCAUAUGACUCGAUUUUUUCAUUUUUUAUUAUAUCUUUAGUUGCUUAUAAUGUCUUAUUUAAUAUUUUUGUUUUCCAUUUGUCUGUCGAGCUGCACUUUGAGAGACAAUAUAUAGAUAGUUUCUUGUCUUUGUUAUAUUUCAUAGGUUUUUGAUUACGUGUAUUUAUAAAUGUUUUUUAUAUCAAUCUAAUUAUUAUCUUUAUGACAAAAAAAAUUUUGUGAUUUCAAGAUAUUAUUUUUGAACUUGAUUGCGCCUAAUAUAGCGGUUAUUUAGGAUGCUAAUUUAUAAGGAUUUAUAAGAACGUCCUUGUAAGUUACAACCAGAAUUGAGUAUGCAAUUUCAACCUAUUUCUUCAUUGAUGCAGUCUCAAUUGGACGACAUAAUCGCGAUAUUCUAGCAGUUGUUCAGUCCUUGAACAAAGCGCAAGAAAAUAUUUCAUUAUUUGAUAACGAGCGACGCGUGGGCAACUAUAAAACGGCAAACAAUAGCUCGCAAUAGCACGUGGACUUUUUUUAAUUCACAUGCGUGUUGUUUGAAUCGUAUCCGUCCACGUGGCUAUAAUAUAACAUUUUUCAUUACAUUUAAAAAUUCAAAAAUAAACAAGUCUAUUAAAAAAAUAAAGCACUUUUUGAUAAAUAAAAACGUACAUCAUAACUCUCUAAAGGAGAGAGUAACAGAAAGUUGAUCUCUCAUUGUAAUUUAUGUAUCAUUUCACAAAGUUCUAGAACAGACAAUUCCCUUGCGGCUAGACAAAUAUUGUUUCUUUCGAGAAUGAUAAAAGGAUAGCAAGGCACGUACGCAGAAACUUGGUUGGGUAAUUUCUCAGAGACUGACACACUCGGUUCUACGUCGCUGAAAAGCGAUACGGCGCUUAGGUUUAAAUGAACAAUUUCCUAGCGUGGAAACAUGUAAUACGUCUCAGAAACCGGUGCGUAUUACCAAGACUGGCUCCUCGCGAAUAUCGGCUCGCGAUAGUGUUACCGUAAUAACGCUAACGGCGACAAGCGAGCGAUCAAGCUUAGAAUCACUUGUACCGGAGCGACGUAAUUGUAAUUGAAUACCCGGGUUAAUUAAUGCCCAUUCGGGCGCUAUGAUCGUAUUUUUGCAUGAGGUUGACCUCGUAAGAAGCAAACAUCACACCACGCUAAUUAUGUAACGCGACUCCUCAAUAACGAGCAGUUGCUCGUGCAACCAGAUGGCAAGCUUGAAAAGCAAAAGUCUGAAAAUUUUUAAUCAAGUCUUGAGGUAUUCGCUGAUCUUGCCAUCCCUUAGUGGGCCGGUUCGAUCGAAGCCGCCGUAAUCGUAGACGUGUAUCAGGAACGUAAUCAGCCAUGCACGUAAAAACUGCGACAUCGAAGCUGCGAACCGAAUGCUGAUUAAGCCUCGACUCAUAAAAGUGCAAAUUAGUGAAAACGUACACGCGCACACGCGCGCAAUUUGGAACAUGCGGGCGCUCAGGAAUAAAUUCAUGUUGUGCAGACAACAGGAGGCGACCGUGCCCGAGCUCGCGUCGAUUUUUAGCGAAUAAUCGAAGACAAGUGUAACUUAAGUUCAAUACAGCGUAAUCAACGCCGAAUUUAAUUGAGCAUUUCUGAACAUUUGGCGAUAACGAUAGAAAAAAUCAUUAACGGGAAAAAUUUCCAAAGUUAUUUGAAGAGUUAAGUCACCCACUUCAAGUAUAAAUAACGCACUUGGAUGAUCGAGAAGACAUCUUGUCGCGGUAUUACUCUAAUUUCAGAAAUAUUUUCUCUAUGUUUUAUUUUAUAUUAUAUUUUAUAUUUUAUUUUAUAUCCAUUAUCCGUUAUUCGUUAUUUGAUAUCAUUAACUUUUAUAAUCUGUUAUUUCGCAUUCUUGCACCUUCCGUUUACAUUUUGAGAAGAAGGAUGAAGGCAAAUCCGCGCCACUUUCGCGGAUUAUUGCGCGUUCUUACGUGACACAAGCCCAGUUUCCUGCUUUUUUUUACCUUGAUGCAGCCUGAUGUAGACGACUGACAGUAAUCGUCUGUUCUUCUCAC